RNAcentral lists this ribosomal RNA (1709 nucleotides) under Triticum aestivum (bread wheat). RNAcentral's name for it is "partial small subunit ribosomal RNA". The record is from RNAcentral. Lineage: Eukaryota; Viridiplantae; Streptophyta; Magnoliopsida; Poales; Poaceae.
CGGCCAAGCACGAUAAAUUUCGGCACAUUUCAGCGAAGUUUGUGGAUUUUCAUUACAUAGCACAUAUACAUAAACUAAUCUAAAGGAAAAACUGGCUUAAGUCGCCGCCGUCGCCGCCAUCGUCGUCGGCGGCCUUCUCCUCCUUGACGCGGGCGCCCCUGCUGGACCCCUGCCCGGCGUCGCCAUGGCGGACUGGUGGCGGCGCAUCGUCGUCGUCGUCGUCGCUGUCGUAGAUGACGACGACUCCGCCUUCGUCGCGGCCGCGUCGACGCUCCGCGAAGCGAAGCAGGGCGGCGCACUGGCGCUCCUUCUCCAUCGUUAUGGAGUCCCUGCGCGCCCAUUCCAGGGCCGCGUCGUCGUCGUCGAGCUCCGUCGUCACCGGCGCGGCCGGCUCCUUCUUCACCGGCGCGAGCCCUGGCUCCGUCUUUGGCUUGAUGAAGCGCGGAGGAGGAGCCGACGAGUAGGCGCGCCGGUCGUCCUCGUUGAUGACGAUGCCGGCGCUGCGAGUGCGUCGCCCGAGCGGCGUCUCCGCCGCGGGCUCGGCCUUGACGCCGAGCAAGGCCGGAGUGCCGGAGGAGUGCGAUGAAGAUCGGGAGGAGGAAGAAGAGGAGGAGGACCCGAACCUCCUUGGCGCCCAUGGCCCGGCGCGUCGGUGCUGCGCUGGGGCGGCCGCCCUCGCCAGGUACGCCAACGGCGGGUCGUUGCCGCCCUCGAGGUAUGUCAACACGCCCUCGAGUGUGCGGUCGGGGACGCCCCACCACAGGUGGCGCCCCUCGCUGUUCUGCCGGCCGCCGACCACCGGCGCGCCGUUGAUGGACGCCAAGCGCUGCUGCUGGCGGCGCUCGAAAUACGCCGCCCAAGCCGCGUGAUUGUCGGCGGCGUGCUGGGGGAGGGAGAGUUGGGCGUCGGUGAGGGAGGCGCGCAUGACCUCGACUUCCUCGGCGAAGUACUUCGGCUUCGCCACGGCGUCGGGCAACGGGGGAAUGAGCACUCCCCCGGCGCUGAGUCUCCACCCCGUCAGCCCGGCGCGCAUGUCCGGCGGCGCCGGGAUGUUCCCCUGGAACAGGAGGGCGGCCGAAGCCGUUGGCCGCCGCCUCGUCUCCGGGGAAGCGUUCCGCCAUGGCGACGGGCUCGGGAGAGGUAGAGAGAUAGAGGGAGGGGCUGGGCGGCGGCGAGGGACGGGGCUGAUGUGGGCACAGGCGAGUGCAGGCCACCGGCUAUAUAGCCGCGCCGCACCCGUGUGUACGCGUGCGAGGGAGGGGAGGCGUCGGUACGCCGUCCCGUGACGCGCCGCCCGUGAGGAAUCAAUGGCAAGGCUGACCGGCGGCAGCCUUGGCAUUGAUUCCCCGCGGGAACCGAGGCCGUUGGGGGAAGACGAGGCGCCGUGUCGCUGACGCGGCUGACCCGCGGCUUUUUCGCGCCAAAACAGCUCGCCCCGGCGCCCCCAGCGCGCCGGGUUCGGCCUGGGUACGCCGGCGCUGUUUUCGGCCCAGGCCGGCGAAAAUUGGGCUCCUGGGGAUGCGACUGGACCGUUUUUUUUACGCCGGCGCGAAAAAAUCGCCUGGGAAGUUCUUCCUGGGGCGCGGCUGGAGAUGCCCUGAGCAAUUAUCAAUUACAGUAGCAAUCUGGCAGUGCAAGCUCAACUUUUGCGUUUGCGCUGCAAACAGUGAUGACAUCGAAUCGAAGCGUAUGAAUAAAGUUAGGCUGGG